AGAGUUUGAUCCUGGCUCAGAUUGAACGCUGGUGGUAUGCUUAACACAUGCAAGUCGAACGGAAACGAUACUAGCUUGCUAGUAGGCGUCGAGUGGCGGACGGGUGAGUAACGCGUAGGAAUCUACCAGAUAGUGGGGGAUAGCCCGGAGAAAUUCGGAUUAAUACCGCAUAAUCUCUACGGAGUAAAGGAGGCCUCUAUUUAUAUGCUUUCGCUAUCUGAUGAGCCUGCGUAAGAUUAGCUAGUUGGUGAGGUAAAAGCUCACCAAGGCGACGAUCUUCAGCUGGUCUGAGAGGAUGAUCAGCCACACUGGGACUGAGACACGGCCCAGACUCCUACGGGAGGCAGCAGUGGGGAAUAUUGGACAAUGGGGGCAACCCUGAUCCAGCAAUACCGCGUGUGUGAAGAAGGCCUGAGGGUUGUAAAGCACUUUCAAUUGUGAAGAAAAGUUAAUA
RNAcentral lists this ribosomal RNA (454 nucleotides) under uncultured marine bacterium. RNAcentral's name for it is "bacterial SSU rRNA". It matches the Rfam family "Bacterial small subunit ribosomal RNA", at positions 8 to 458 of the family's 1533-position model. The record is from RNAcentral.